CUCACUCUCUGGGGCUAGGUCUGCACCCAGGCUGAACACCACCAACCCCUGGGGUGGGGCACCGCCCUCCUUGGGGAACCAGCCCCUCUACCGCUCCAGCCUCUCCCACCUGGGACCGCAGCACCAGCCCCCAGGAUUGUCCACUGCCAGCGGAGCCAGGUAUCUUGUGUUUUUGAGGGUCAUUUUGUCUACCUCUGUGCCCUGUCAGCAGGCUUGGGUUUCUGCUUUUACUUAGCUGGGAAGAUGUGCCCAAAUACCUACAGACCUGGCCCCUGCCUCCUUGUCUCUGCAUCGUCUCCUUUGCAUGUGCCACCUGGUGCCCAGGCGCUGGCCUUCCACAGCCUUGCAGUGCAUGGAGCCUCCCUGACCUCUGGUGCUUGAGCGCUGAUCGUUGCCACAUGGGUUAAAAACAGCAAUGCUUGCAGCCAGCCAGGAGAAUCAGGUUCUCUGUAGAGCAGGUAAAGGUGUGCCUGUGUGCCUCAUCGCUCGUGCCGUGCACCUGAGAGUGUUUCGUUGAUUCCUCCUCUGUGCCAGGCACUGAAGACACAGACAUGGGACAUUCUCUCCCACAAGCCCACAGUGUGGUCAGGGGGAGGCUGUGAGCCCAGUUUUGGUGCUUAACAGUCGGUUGAGGAGAGAACAAAACACUGGGUGUGUGGCAGGUGGCAUCAGGUGACAGGACGGCUUCCAUGCUGGUGUAGUCUGGCCCAGUGCCUCCUAGAGCUCUCUGCUCCUUGAGGGGGAUGAUGAAAUGUGCCCCAUCCGGACCAGGGGGCGCCUAAAAGUCAGGAAACCUCUUGGAGUAGCCAGUGGGGGCUGCUCUCUGGGUGCUUGGAGACCUUUCACUGACAAGGGGUCUUGUCAGUGAUCAUUACUGAGGGUGUUGGGCUUGGAGAACAUUUAGAGAAUUCCAAAUGGGAGCUGGGAUGGGGGGCUGGUUUCUGAGAUGGUGACCGGAGAGGGUGGGUCGUGACUGGAUAUGUGGGCCUGUAGCGGGCCUGUGACUGCCCUGCCCCCCAAGGGGGUCAACCUCUUGUUGGUUUGGACUGACGUUGGCCAGUCAGCUUCUUGGUUCUGCCUUGCUCAUCACCCAGCCGCAUCCCUGCCUCUUUGACCAUGGUGAGUGAGGGCUUCCCAGUGUGGACAACACUUUCUCAGCGGCUUCCUGGACCUCUAGCUAAUUUUUUUCCCCAAUGUUUAUUUAAUUUUUAGAGAGGCAGAGAGCGAACAGGGCAGGGGUGCAGAGAGGGAGACACAGAAUCUGAAGCAGGCUCUAGGCUCUGAACUGUCAGCAAAGAGCCUGACGUGGGGCUCAAACCCACGAACCUAGAGAUCAUGACUUGAGUUGAAAUCCAACACUUAACCAACUGAGCCACCCAGGCACUCCUAGCGUUUUUUUUAAGCUAGGUUUCAGAGGACCCUGCCAGCUUCUAUAAGACAGGGUGACAGCUGCCAUUCACUGAGCACACAUUGCCAGGCCCUAUCGAGCAGGCUGUGUGAAUGAUGUCAGUAAUCCUUAUAGUGACCAUAUGGUAGGUGGUGUCCUCAGCUUAUGGGUGAGCACACCGAGGUUGACAAGGUUGGCAGCAUAGCCAGCAAGUGGUAGAGUUGGGGUUAAACCAGGCCCCACAGCAGGCUGUAAGGGACACGUGGAGUUCUUGAAGCUGUCUUAAAGGCAGAGUAAUAGGAAGGCAGUGGUAUCUUGAGGGAUGACCGUGGGGAGUCCGUAGACAGGAGGAGAAUGGGUCAGGGCAUCUUCUGGGGGCAUCUCCUUCAGGGAGUGGGAGCAGGUGGACCUGAGUUCUUUCUGGGAAUGGGGCUACAGGAGCUUUCACUUGGCCUUCUCCCCGGAUUUUCACGUGGGCGUUAGCGAACGGGGCUCUGGGCUGUCCCAGCCCCACCCAGCGUGCUGUGAGGCCCCCUAUAGUAAGUGGGUCAGAAUCUUUCAGGGAAAAGUGUGCUGUCUGCCAACCCAGAAUGGUUAUCAGCAGGACCAGAGCCUCUUCUACUAGGUCAGUUCUGCUGAGCCUCCUGGGGCUUCUUAAGUUCUUACAGAUUAUUUUGAGGCACAUUUCUAGAUAGUUCUAGAACUGGGAUUCUGGGAUUGAGCCAAGUGAUUUGAUUGAUGGGCUUUGUUGCUCUUUCCUGGUACAGGGUUCCAUUGGUCUCUCCUGAUAUUUCUCUGGCGUCCCCCCUCCCCAGCCUGAGGGCCCGAGAGGCUGCCAAAGGGGGCCCCCUGGUACAGGCCAGGCAAGUUACAGAAGGGAAGGUCUUACCUUUGCUUCUGGGCCUGCGUGUUGCUACUUGCCCUGCUUGCCUUGGUUGUAAGCCAGGAAGGGGACCAGGCCAGCCAGCUCUGUUAGUUGAAACCGCCUCGAAGGAGCCUUCCUCCUGAGGUGGGUGUUCAUCUUUAUCUCCUCUAGCUUUUCAGGAGCUGGGAGAGGCACAGUUCACUUGCAUGGGCCUAUCCUUGUUUGGAAAAACAGGAUUUCUCCCACGUCUUAUUUGUAUCGAUGCUCUUUAGUUCACUCCCUUCCGGUGGGUGUCGUAGAGCUGGCUGGAAGGGGUGUAAUGAAUACCUGGUGUCUUGACCCAGCAGGGCCAGGAUGAUCGAAAACACUCGACCCCUUGGUCUCCUUGGGGGCUGUGGUCUGGUUCUCCAAGGUGAAUGAUUGUCAUCUACAUUAACUGAAAAUUCCCCAGGGAGUGGCAGGCUGGCGGCACCAUGGGCUGGGGAAGCCUGAGAACCAGCUGUACUUACUGGUAGCCGCUGGAAAGAACAUGUGAAUGAGUGGAAUCAAAAUUCACGGAACCCAUGUGGUUUUUAUUUGGGAACCCGUGUGGUUUCACAUCGCUUCUUGCUCAACCUGGGUAAAACCUUGGCCGACUGACUUCCUUGUGGGAGGCUUUCUGAGUAGGCAGUAAUACAUUGAGAAGGGACUUCGUCUGUCUGUCACUGAGCUGCUGGGUUUAAGAAAAUUUCCUAGUAGCUGAACUUUAUCCCUUUAAGCACCAAAACUUGUGUUUUAAUGAUGUGGGGUGGAAAACUUUCCAAAAUGUGUCAUGCACACUCUCGCCGUCUUUAAUAGGGGGUGUGGUGGCUUAACGUUUUGAUGACUUCCGGUAGUGAUCGUGACCAGCAGUCUGUUGCAGCUUUGGUGUGGCUGAGCCCUGGGGCGCCUUGCCUUUGCACUAAAUGGCCCUUGGAAAUGGCUCUGCCGGUUUGCUUUCAUCUGCUCUGUUCUUGCUACUGCUGUUCUCCCAGCCUCUAAAGGCACUCCCACCUGCUCUCAGCCUGGCCUGGGUGCGCGGGGGUCCUGUGUCCCAGGGGAACCUUCCUCCCGACUGGCUGUAGGCCCUUGGGUCAGCUCUGUUCCCUUUCCACGUCCCUCCUUUCCCCUCUUAAGAUUAAGGAGUUGGGCCGGGAAGUGUGACAUUUCCUUUUGCUCCAGUAUUACAGUUUUCAAGGUUUCAGGGGAGCCCUGCAGGAAGGUACCUGGCGGCUCCUCAGCUUUCCUGUGUCCCCUUUGCUCCUCUGAGAACAGGGGAACAGUGGACAUUUGUACUGGGCUGUGGAUUGAGCCUCACAACCACCCCAAAGGCCUUUUAGAAUUGUUCUCAUCUUACAGAUAGAAAAAUUGAAGCUCAGAAAGGGUACUUGACCUGGCCAAGGGCACACAGCUUUAAGCUGGAGCAGGUGCUGUUAGCGGGGUCUCCAGAGCCACCCNNNNNNNNNNNNNNNNNNNGCCCCCCCCCCCCCCCCCCCCCCCCCCCCCCCGCCCCGAGCCGUGUCACAUUCCUCAUACUGCACGUGCUGCCCGGGGUUGCUGAUUAGUGCUGGCUCACCCUGUGGGGAGCUGGUAGGAGGCUAUGCAUUUCCUUGGUCCAGCCUCCCAGCCUUGCCCUUUGCCCAGGGGCUGUCCAAUCUCGCCUUCACAGAAGACUAGAAAUCCUCGUGUCUCAUUCUGAGCUCCAUUUGGAAGCUCCUGGGGAUAGUCCCAGACAAGAAAGCCAGGUUGGGCCUUGUAGAUAGACCCAGGAACAGGGGAGGCCCGGAAGGUUGCCUGAGUCCAUGACUAGAAGGGCUCUACCUUGUGGAAUUCCUUCACUUCUAGAACCUAAGAAUUGCAAAGACCAUCAGAGAUUAUCUACCUUCCUUUAAAAAACCCAAAUGGGGGGCGCCUGGGUGGCUCAGUCGGUUAAGCAGCUGACUUCGACUCAGGUCAUGAUCUUGUGGUCCGUGAGUUCAAGCUCCGCGUCGGGCUCUGUGCUGACAGCUCGGAGCCUGGAGCCUGUUUCGGAUUCUGUGUCUCCCUCUCUCUGACCCUCCCCUGUUCAUGCUCUGUCUCUCCCUGUCUCAAAAAUAAAUAAAACGUUUAAAAAAAAAUAAAAAUAAAUAAAAAUAAAAAAAUAAAAAACCCAAAUGGAGAAACAGGCCCAGGAAGGGGGUGGUGGUGGCUCCAGAUCAAACAGUUUAGUGGGACCAAACCUUAGCGCAGGUGGUCUGAAUGCCUGGCUCUUCCCCUGCAUUAUCAGAGCACUCUGGAGCCAGGUCCCUUGUUCCCUCAGGCUUGCGUGUAGCCGAGGCAGGGGCCACGAUGUGAGUAGUGUGGCCACACGGGUUAUUCUCUUUGGGGAGACCAAUCAAGAAAUGAAAACAAAACAACCUCUUUCUUCACUCAGACAAAUACCGAGGUGCCCCAGGAUGGGCUGGAAGACGUGGGAAUUGGGCCAGUGGGGGGGGUGGAUUGUCAGGCGUUUCAGGCCAUCUCCGCCAGCCGGUCUCCAGUGUGGGGCUCUUCCCAAACCAGAGUCGUGUAGAUUUAUUAACACUUGAGAAAUAGAAUGUCUUAGAACCAGAUGAAUGACUCAAACAUAGUUACUGUGGGAGGCAAGACCCCCAUUUAAAAAAAAAAAAAUCCAAAAAGAAAUUCUUUUAUUUUGAACUGGUUUUAGGUUUAUAAAAAAGUUAAGAAAUAGUGCAGAGAGUUACCAUAUCUCCCUUCCUUGACUCCUCUCAUAAACAUCUUUCAUAACCAUGCUGUAGUCCUCAGAACCCGGGAAUGGCCGUGGGUGCGUUCCUGUUAACCAAGGACUUUUCUCGAUUUUCACCGGUUUUUCACCACUGUUUCCAUUCUGUCCCAGGAUCCUGGGGGACCCCACUUCGCAUCCAGUUUUGCUUUCUUCUUCCUUUCCUCCCUUCAGUAGGAGUUCCUCCUUUAUCUCCCAUAACCUUGACACUUUUAAAGAGUUACUUUGUCGAAUGUCCCUUAAUUUGGGCCUGUCUGUUGGUUUCUCAUGCUUGAGGUUAUGCACUUUUGGCAGGAACCACAAAAAUGGUGUUCUGUCCCUUUCGGAGCACCAUUUCUGGGGUUCCUGGUGUUGAUUGGCCCUAUUACUGGUGAUACUGGUCUUGAGUACUUGUUAGAGCGGUUGCUGCCAGAUUUCCCCUCUUCAGGUACCAUAGAGCUCUUAUUCUGACAAAGUGAGUGAGCUCAGAAUUCUUUUAGGAUUGUCUUCAGAGUCUGAAUUGCCCAGGAAAACAUUUUUUUUUUUUUGACAGUUUAUGCUUCCUUCUUGAUCGCUUGUAAAAAGCGGAGGCUCACCCCCCCCCCCCAGCAGUGUUCUCUCCCAUCACUGCUCUGGCCCUGCCAGCUGAUGCUCCCCCCACUCGAUGCCUGGCUUGGAGUUUUACGUCCCCACUUGAUUUUUGUGGCGGUCGUGGGGCUGGCUCUGGGCUUCACAUCCUCAGCAGUCAGAUUCUGUAGGUUAGUUUGGGUCUAAGAGUGCUGAAAUUCAGAUUUCUUUGAUUCUCUUUCCAGACAUCAGGAUCUUUUUAAUUAAAAGAAAACCCAGAAAUCCUCACUCACACAGAAGCAGCCAUGCAGAGUGAAGCUGCGAAGCGGCCCCGGCAACACCAGCGAAUUCCCAUCUUGGUCUUUCUCUGGCUCUUGUUCCUGCUAAAUCGGCUCCUACGUUAAGCUUUGUUCUCUCCUCUCCCCUAGUGCCUCCCUCCCCAGCGGUCCUGCCGGCAGCCCUGGGAGCGUCCCUGCCGCUGUGCCUGUGCAAAUGCCGAAGCCCAGCCGGGUCCAGCAAGCCCUCGCAGGUAGGCACCCUGCUGGGUUCCGGGUUCCAGAACAGACCACCUGGCAGGGGGCAGGAUGCGGAGGUGGUGGGAGAAUGCGUGGUUGAGGGAGGAGAUGGUGGGGUGGGGGUGCUGUUACCUUGUUUCUUCUCACGGAAAGCCGCAGCCACUCCCUAGGGGGCGGUGCCUCUUUUGGGUGAUGGGUGACAGUGUACGCACCCUCAGCGAGUGGGCCUGGGGCCGCCCCUCCUUUGUCUCUCCAGGGGAGUCCUGCUUGAUAUCAGUGGGAACCAUGGUGUGGACCUUUCCAUCUUUUACAUUUUCACGUCACUUCAAUUAUGGUUUGAGUCACUGCUCUGUCCUGAGAUGCUUUAGGCAUUUCCCGAAAGGGGCCCUUUGGGGGAACUUGCAGCUAUUUUGGCCGCAGUUACGUUUUGAAUUAAGUGGCUUUGUGUCCAACUGGAUCAUUUGUUAACCAUACAUCUUUGAACUGUUUUUUAGAUUCCUUUUAUAGUUUAGGGAGCUACUGGAAGUUACUUUUUAACUAACGGGAAAUGCAAUGUGUUAUGGAAAGCUAGAGGGGAGGAGUGUAGUGAGGUUGAAGCAGGGGAAUAAGAUAACCCGAGUCUGUGUGUUAGGGUGAGUCACCGUAGUAGACAGUGGGAGUUCGAGGGGACAGGCCCGGGGCAGGGAGACCCGUGUGGAGCCCGACAUGAUGGCUCAGGGGAGCCGUGGCAGUCGUGGAGGUAAGAGCGUCUGACUUGGUGACUGGGUGCGCCAUGAGAGAGAGAAGGAAUAGAAGGAGGCCCGGUGUGAGGCUGCCGAUGUGGUGCUAUAACACGUCGUGAUCGUUCUUGAGGAUCAUGUAGGGGCUUUGCAUGUGUCUUCCUUCACUUCUUCCCAGUAACAGCUCUGUGAAGUAUGAACUUUUAUUCCUAUUUCAUACUUGGGGAAAUAGCCUCAGAGAAUUCCAGACACUUCCCAAGAUGAGCCAGUCAGCCCUUGGUAGAGCUGGGACUCAGCCCCAGGCAUUCUAGGCCUCAGCACCUGGGUUCUUAGCCAUUACACUGUGCCGAUCCGGAGUCUGGUGGGAGUGCGGGGAGAGGUGGGGGGUGCUGGCUGUGGUUGUGGCCCGGCGCAUCUGUCCUGGGGGCAGUGGGAGUUUGGGUGUGCAGCUCAGAAGAACAUUCUGGGGUGGAAUGGGGUGGCCUCUGCCCCCGUGGGGGGAUCGUAUGAGCUCACAGAGACUGUAAGUGGGAUUCUGGGAAGAGCCCUUGAAGGAAAUGGAGGGACCAAUCAGAAAAGUGAUAGAAGACAGGAGAGGGGGCCCCUCUGGAACCUGCUUCAGCUGCUCAGCCAUCAGCCUUCUACGGGGGCAAAGAGAACAGUGAGCAAAGAUGUGGUGACUGGAAAGUUCCUCCUGAGUUUAGGUCCUCUUGUGGCAUCAGAUGCCAUAGGUGAGUCAGACCUGUGUGUGUGUGUGUGUGUGUGUGUGUGUGUGUGUGUGUGCGCGCGCGCGUGCGCGCAUGUGUGUGGUGGUGGUCUUAUUGGAGAACGGUUGUAGGUGAAUAGGCCUGGCCUGCAUAUGGCCCUGCUCCAUUCAGCACUGUAAUCACUAAGGCUUGAAUACAGAUGUUAUAAUAACUUUUCUAAUAUUUUUAAGUUUAUUUAUUUUGAGAGAGAGAGAGAGAGAGAAUGAGUGGAGGAGGGGCAGAGAGAGAGGGGGACAGAGGAUCCUAAGCAGGCUCCAUGCAGACAGCAAAGAGCAGGAUGCGGGCCUCGAACUCACGAACUGUGAGAUCAUAACCUGAGCCAAAGUCGGAUGCUUAACCAACUGAGCCACCCGGGCACCCCUGUAAUAACUUUUCUAAACGCGUCUCAGAAGUGGUCUGGGGGUUGAGUAGCACUUGCUCCCUUUCUGCUGCUCUUGAGGCUGAGGACCUUCUCUGGUCUGUAUCCCAGAUUGUCUCCAAUGUCCCCUGUCACCUUGGCUCUCAGAUCGAUGCAGGAGGUAGGUAGGUCUUUUAACCUCCAUUUUACUCACUGGGGAAACCUCAAAGAUUUAGGAACUCGGUCCCAGCGAGCACGGAGUGGAGACUCAAGCCACUGGUCAGAUGCCACCUCCUCUGAACACAGCCUCUGGCUUGUAGUUGUUGGUGGGACCCUAGUCUAAAGUGUCAGGGAAGGAGAGAUCCUGAGCCAGCCUCCAGGAAGUAGGGUCUGGAGAACAGAGUGCUGUCUUCCCUGCACUGAGCACUCUGUGGGUAGGUUUACAAGCAAGUGGUCAUCUACACUGGGACAGGAGGUCCACCGAGGAGCCACCUCCAGGUCAGGCCUCAGUGCCUCAGGUGACAGCUUCCCUGGCUGCAGCAUGGCCCAGCCCUCUCCUUGGAGUUUUCUGCUUUCACAGCCUGCCCAAGCCCAGACAGCCAGGAGGAGUGGGGCUGGCCGGGCAAGGCCAGAGUCAGGACGGGCUUGGACCUGAGCCCCGGUCACUAGACGAAGGGCUGACCCCUGGUGUCAGAAAGAAAGUGAUUGUACAUCUGACCGCGACAGGGACUGCUCUCUCGGGGGCUCUGACAGAUAAGCGGGAAUCCUCUCAGAAGAGUGGAGAAGCUGUGGCCGUUCAAGCUGCUACAGUUAUUUGGGGAUGUGAGGAGUUUGGGGGGUUGUCCCUGAGCUCUGCUGUUGGGAAGAUGUGAUGGCCACCUCUGGGUGUCUCCCCACCUCAUCCUGUCCAGUGGAUGUUGCUUUCGCGAAGUGUGGGUGUGGGGUGGUUCUCGCACGUUCUUGCAAGAAGGCAGGCCACAGAGCAGGGGCUGCUUCUCCGCAGGCUUUUAAGUUGAGACUUCUGUGUCCGUGACUUGAAUUCAGGGGAGGGGGUCCUGCAUUGACCGGAGCAGAAGCGUUGUUCAUGCUGGCCUCACAGCAGCCACCCAGCAGCAUUUGGGGAUAUCUUGGUUCCCCAGCAGACAGGUGCUGUGAACACCUCCUGUGACCGGGCCCUACCCUGGGUGUUCAUUGCAGGGAAGACAGCAGUCCCCAAAACAGGUAUGCGAGUCCUUUCAGGUAACACUAAGUCGGGUAAAGGAGGCAGAGAUGGAGGGGACGUGGCUCUUAUAGAUGGGGUGGUCAGGGCAGGGCUGCCUCCUAGGAGACACUUGGGGAGAGGUCUGGUCGAAGUGAGGCAGUGGGUGUUGGGGGAGGAGGUCAUGGUCAGCACAGAGGCCCAGGGCUCUACUAAGGCAUCGUUCCCGUCCCCUCCAUCAUUCUGUCCCCGUGCCUGCUUGUCAUUAUUCUGUCCACCGGACGGUUAGGUUCAGACUCACAUCUGAGCUCAGAAGCACUCAACCCUAAGACGCUGGUGGCAUUGCAUUACCUGACAAGCGAGCGCCUGGGGUGCAGCCGUGGUCUUCUGACGUGCACUUUUGUGUCUCUUGCAAGUGGCUGCCACGGCACCCCCUGCCCGCCUCUGCUGUGCUGCCCAUGCCCAGGCUGCUGGCUGGCCUCUGCUUCUGUCCCUGACUGGGCAUGUUUGCCACAUUGAGUCUUUGUUCUGUAGAGGCCAUGGUGGCUGGCCCGGCCAGGUCCUAGGGCCGGGUUUCCCCUCACCCAUUUGCGUUGCCCCUGGAGUGGGCAGCACCAGCUGCGGGAUCUCCACUUCCUAUCCCAGGCUGCCCGCAGGGAAGGUGGCAGAACGGAACCCAGAGCUCUCCUGGGGAGGAGGUGGUUUUGAGCUAGACAGGGCAGGGGGGACUGGUUAGGGGUGCUGUGGACAGCAAGGUAGGCUGAGGGUGUAGUAGGACUACAGACUGCAGCAGGAGGACAGGCCGUGUUCCACAAUGUGUCAGGUCCUCAGGGAGCGGUGAGGGGGGAGAGUCCGGUGAGGGUGUGUGUGGAGCACCGGGCUGAGGAGUGAGGCCUUUCCCCCGUGGGUAUGCCCACCCUGCCCCGUCCGGGGCAGAGGGGCUGUUUGAGCCCUGACCGAGGGCACGAGAGGAGGAGGCCACGGCCCCGGGACCCUUGCUGCUCCAGAGGAGCAAGGGCCUUGGGGGUGCCUCGGUGGGAGAGCAGGUCCCGGGGCCAGCAUUCCUGCCCACCCACCCUAGCAAUGGCGCUGAAAACACCUAGACAGGCCAGAUGGGGGACAGGAGGCAGACAGCACCCCACUGGAGGCAAGGUGACCAGGAGCCAAGAGGGCACAUCCGGGGGAGCACAGGGGGUGGACUGGGAGCUCGAGACCCCGUCCACAUCUCCAUAGUUUGGCCGCAUCCUUCCGUGUCACCGCCUGCUCUCCUUGCUCCUAGCACAGGGAGACCCCAUCUGGAACUGCUUAGGAGGCUUCCUGGGAUGGCUUCCUGCCCUCUGCCCUCCUGAAGCAAGCGGCCUCGCCCCGCCGCCUUCCCCGCAUGCUGUGAGCGCGGGCUGGGUGGUUGCUUGUACAGUUAGCUGUGGAACUUGGGGCCGGGGCUCCGAUGAGCCGGGCGUUUCACUGGUUCCUGGCCUGGAGCUUAGCCCAGCGCGCCCGAGUAGGCCCUGGCAGCCUACUGAGUCCUCAGAGAGAUCGGUGGGUCCUGCUGGCUGUUGACAGUGCCACCUGGACUCAGCCAGGGUUUGUGGACGUCACAUGCUGAAUGACUCCUUCUAACGUUUCUCCCCUCUCUGCAUGUCUGAUCUCGCACCCCGUGUAGGCAUGACGAGUAUUCUGAUGUCAGCCAUUGGACUCCCUGUGUGUCUUAGCCGCGCACCCCAGCCCGCCAGCCCUCCCGCCUCCUGUCUGGCCUCUAAAAGUCACAGCUCAGUUAAGAGAUUGAGGAAAAUGUCCAUGAAAGGUAGUUCCUGCUCACAAAUGCUCUCUGGCCUCUGCUAAGCCUCCGAGUCUUGCUGCCUCUGACUCUCCUGCAUCGACUGCUCUUCUUUGACUCCUACGGCCCUUCUCUGCUUCCUUUACCCCCCAGGGGAGGGGCUCAGUGGCCCUUCUCCCUGCUCUCAGCACAGAGGUGGCCCCCAGAAUCUACUUAACACUCAAGACCCAGAGUUAAGCUCCUAUCUUCCUGGCACAGUUGGAGCAUGAGGGGCCUGUUCUUGAGGACUCCGUGACUCUAUAUGGGGUGAGGCCGGCUCAGGAUGGGGGUGACUCUGUCCCUCCCACCGGGACCAGCAUGUGUCUCAGGAAAGGCCCCCAGCCCUAUCUGGCCUACUUCCGAGGGGUCUCCCACUGAGCACCGUGCUGCCCAUCACACGGCUGGGGAGGAAGGGGUUUCAGAACCGUGGAAGGUGCAGUGAGUUUUAAGCAGACUUACAUGAAGGAGCCUGUGGGUAGUAGCUUCUAAAGCUGCCAUUUCUAAAGCUGAGAGCGGCUCUGCCUCCAGCUUUGGGCUGGAGACGCACAGACUGCUGAAAGCCCAGUGACCUUCAGGAUGGUGGGGUGAGCAGGGAGCAUGGCUCUGGCUCAGCCAGUCUUGGGUUCCAGUCGUGGCUUCUGUGCUCACUGCUUUAGGAUCUCACGCCUGUGUCUCCAUUCAUGAGCCGGUACCUCCCACUUAGCAGAUUGGUCGUGGGAGGAAUAGGAAAUCCACAUGUGAGGUGCCCGGCACAGAGUGAUGGGGGCUGCUCUGACCCUGGCCCACCAUCUGUCUAACCCCGACCUUGCAGGUGGCACGGAGGCCCAGGGAGCGGCAGGGCUUCAUACCCAGUGUCCCGCCUCACCCGGGUCCCCGAAGUCAGGCAGGCCUCGGAUGUCCUGACCCACUCCCCUUUUCCUCUGCCUUGGAGGUAGAGGCAGGUCUGCGGGCAGGGCAGGCCAGGAGUUUCCUGAGAUACUUGGGCUUCCCCGGGAAGGACACACGUUCUUGGCAGACCCUCUGGCCUUCCUGGGCUCAGGUGUCCCUUUCUUGGGGUUGGUGGUCACCUGGCUGGCCCCCUUUGAGAAACACAGCUCAUGGAAAGCUACCUUCGGUUCUAAAAGGCUGCCCGGGCAAAGGCGAGUGGUGGGCAAAUGGGAUGCGGAGCUGAGCCAGAGGUGGGCCCAAGGCUGGUCCGGGCAGGUGGGGUCCUGGGAUCCUUCUAGAGACUGACUUGUAGCCACCAGUCUUUUCUAAAACGCCUCUUCCCUAAGUCCAAGUAGAGUCGCAGCUACGAGGACGGCCACUGGUGCUGGUGGUCAUUGUGCUUUGGCCUGACUUUCUUACCAGUGACCAGUCAGUGGCUUAGAAAUCUGUGUAUGUGUCUGUAUGUGUACUGGGUGGGGGAGAGGGGUGUGUGUGUGUGUGUGUGUGUGUGUGUGUGUGUGUGUGUGUGUGUGAGAGAGACAGACAGAGUGUGGGGUGCAUGUGUGUGUGUGGAUGUAUGUGGGGUACAUGUGUGAGGGGGUAUGGGUGUAUAUUGUAUGUGUGAGGGGAUGGGGGUAUAUUUAUAUGAGGGGGUGGGAGAUGCGUUUGUGUGUACGGGUGUGUGUGUGAGGGGGUAUGGGAUAUGUUUGUGGGGGAUGGGGUGUGUGUGUGGGGAGCAGGGGGAGAGGGAUGGGGUAUGUGUGUGAGGGGGUGAGGGAUAUGUUUGUGGGGGAUGGUGGUAUGUUUGUGUGUGGGGGUGGGGUGGGGAGUGUGUGUGUGUGCGCGCGCGUGUGUGUGUGUGUGUGUGUGUGGAAGAGAGGGUGAUAUUCCUUUGCCAGUCACUGCCUUUUAGGUAGUAGCGGUUCAUGCCUUCACAGCAAUCACAGUUUCGGUCAGGGUUAGGUUUCUGUUUUUAGGUGAGGGAACUGAGAUUCAGGUGACGUGAUUUGGUCCCAGCACAAGAGCCAGAAUCAUGCCUGACGUCGCCUGCUCCCAGCCUCUGCUCCCUUCAUAGCUGACCCCUAGCCUUCUCUGGUUUUGAGGGCGCUUGGCUGUGGAGCCGUCAGGCUCGUAUGUCCUUGCGGCCAUAGGCUGGUGGCUAUGAGUUUGAGUUCAAACCAGGUCCCUCGGGACUCAGAGGCUAGGACCAGGAGCUGCCUGGUGACCUGGAGGCAGGAUGUGGAGCCCUGCCGGGGUUGCUUUCCCAGGCCACAUUGGUCUCCCUGGUCCCUCCUUUCUGCCCCUGCACGGCUUUGCUGCCAUUCUUUGUGAUUCUGCCGCUGCCUCUGGCUGGAGAGCCCCCCCCACCCCGCACCCCGCCCCGGGCCUGGCCGGUUCUCUCGCCCGCUGCGGGAGUUUCUUGUUUUGGGGGCGUGGGGGCCGGUGCUCGUGCAGGUGCAGCGUCAUGCAUAUGUGCACAGAGGAGUGGGGUGGCCAGGGUGCCCCUCCUGCUGCUCCUCGGCUCCUUCCCAGAGUUGGGGUGUCACUGAGACCCCACAGUCCAGGGACAGGCGAGAGAAAACCGGGGUUUGUCGUGACCCUGUCAGCGUGGCCGUCAUCCGCAGUCAGUGGGCAUCUGUGUGCCGCGGGGGUGGGCACCCGCUGCACGUUCGGCGCCUGAAACUUCUCCUGCCUUGGCUGUCGCACCAGAGUAAUGACAGUUGAGUGAAACAGCGCUGCCGGGACACUCCCCACAGUAGUUUGUUUUAAAAGCUGCUGUUUGGCUUUUCUGUGUGUCCUCCUGAGGAGCCUGGGUCCGUCUAGCUUCCUGACUGAACGUGCACAGGGACGUGGUGGAGGCCCAGCACGCAGCUCCUGGGGGCUGUGACCGGCAGCCGUCUCUGGUCCUCGUCCUGGUGGGGCCAGAGGGGGCUCUGCCUGGCAGGGCUCUGAGUGGCCGAGUCGGCCCCCCACCCCCCCGUCUCUUCUUGCACGCUCACCUCCUGCCCUGGCCUCUCUGAAUGUCCCUCCUGGCGGCUUGUCCUCUUCCUCUCUGGAUCCAGCGUCCCCAGUUCGUACUCCUUGGGACACUGCUUCUGUCCUUCUCUCUUCUAGGAGGGACUCCAAAGCCAGAGCCAGAACAGGUGAUAAAAAACUAUACCGAAGAGCUGAAGAUAGCCCCAGAUGAGGUAUGUGUCACGGGAGCCAUGUUGCCUUUGGUUUCGUUUGGAGACAGGAGUAGCGCCAGAGAAGGAUACCAGCCCUUCCUGUGCCGCGGGGGGUACUUCCCACAGUGCCUCUGGGUUGCUGGCCAUGCUCCAGGUGCUUGGGUUUAAUCUCCCAGCCUCCCAUAGGAGGCUGGCCCUACCAAGAGGAGGCAGCCUGCACUUCAGAGGCCUGGAUUCUGAUCCUAGCUUUGCCGCCAGUGAGCAGAGCUCCUACACAGGCCUCUGGGUGCUCCUGUCCCUGUGCCGUCCUGGUGCCUGGGAGUCCUGGAGGCCAAGGAUGGGAGAGCCUGCCGCACUCCCCACGGGCUGAGUGGCUUUGUCCCCAUAGCAGUCCUGCCCCUCUGGCUACUGGGAAAGCCAGCCAGGCUUCCUGUAAUUACAGGGACUGCCAGACCCUCAUAGCUGCUUGGGCAGGACCGGAGCCUCUGUGCUGAGCCUUGUUUCAGGGGCCGCAGCGCCACUUGUCUGUGAUUUGAAUGGGGCAUCCUGGGGACUCUGGACAGUGGGUUAAAGGGCGGUCAUGCCCGUGCGGAACCGAGGGCUCUGCCCUGCCUCUCCCCUGCAGCUCUGGCUGGUAAAGCUUUAGACAGUGACCUGGAGGCCGUCUUCGUGUCUCCCACUUGACAGCAUACGUCUGUGUCCUUGUCUUUGCCCUUGUGCUCACCCGGCAUCACUGGGCCACUCUGUGCCAGCCUCCUGCCCUCCAAGCUGCCACCUGUACAACCUGCACGCAGCUGUGGUCCUGGUGGUGCCCCCACUGUAGAGCACCUCAGCAGGGUCCCCUGACGUGUGAGACGAAGCCCAGCUCUGAGCUUAGCCAUCAGAACCUUCCGGGACCUGGUCCUGUCCCACUGGUCUCUUACACUCUACUCACCCCUUGCCCCCUGCAAUUACCGCCGCCCUCCCCAAACUCUAUGCUGGUUCCUGCUUCAGAACAUCCUCUUCCCUUUCUCUGGAAUGCCCGUUCCUGUGCUUGUCUACCCGACAAGGUCCUUUCCCCUGUGACACCCAACUUGGGGGGCACCUCUAAGGAGCCUGCCCUGUUCUGUCCCCUUUCCCUGCCCGUGCCCUGUUACUGCCAAGGCCCCCAUGUCCCCCAUGCUCACUGCUGCCUGUUGUCUUCUGUACUACGGUGAGCCCUCUGAGGGCGCAGAAUCUGGGGACUCCUCUGUGUUCCCAGCUGUGUUCCCAGCUGUAGAAUUGUCCGUAAUCCUGGCGUUUCAGCAGACAAAGGCUUUUUCUUUCCCUUCUCCCCUUUUGGCACAGUGGGCCAUUGGUGAGCGUGCCCUGUGUUGGUCUCCUUCUAGGACUGCAUCAUCUGUAUGGAGAAACUGUCCGUGGUGUCCGGGUACAGUGACGUGACUGACAGCAAGACCAUUGGGCCAGUGGCCGUGGGCCGCCUCGUCAAGUGCAGCCAUGCCUUCCACCUGCUCUGCCUGCUGGCCAUGUACUGCAAUGGGAACAAGGUGCCCACACGUCUGACCCCAGGGUGGGGAUCAGGGCAACCUGCCCAUAGUCCUGUCCCAGUCCUGUCGCAUCUGAGCUGGUGACUGCUGCUGCCGUGUGAGCCCCAGGGCACUCAGAGGCGACCUUAAGAUGUCUGUAGGCCUUGGCCUCACAGCAGGAUAGGGGUUGGCCGCCGGGGGUGCCGAGGGUGACAGGUGAUACUUGGCUGCUUCCCUUCAGUGGAGUUCAGCCGGAAUGGACAGGUUGGGAGGACAGAGAGAACUGAGUCACGUGGCAGACCUUCGGGCCCGGCUUGGCCUCUCUGCAGAUCGCUGUGCCACCCCUGUACCAGCCAGGGUGCCAGCACAGUCAGUUGAGAGGUCACGGGGUUUUUUGUUUGAUUUUAAACAUGUUAGACCGUGGAGACUUUUGCUCAUAAACCUGAUUUUCCUACUUGAUGCUCGCCUCCUGGUACCUCACCCCUUGGAUGGAAAUGGCUUGAGGAGUUUCUGGUGUAGGACAUCUUCACAGGGACGCUCUCAGGAUCGGGUUUCUGUGCAAGGAGGGACCUGCUGUGUGACAGCGGGCCGAGCUGAGCCCCUGUGGGCUCUUCCCCACCUCGACAGCCAGACAGCGUGCCUGGGUGCUCUCUCGGCACCGGCUGAGACUAGGUGCUCUGCUCUGCCUCAGGACGGGAGUUUGCAGUGUCCUUCCUGCAAAACCAUCUACGGAGAGAAAACCGGGACCCAGCCCCAGGGAAAGAUGGAGGUGUUCAAGUUCCAGGUGUCCCUCCCUGGCCAUGAGGACUGUGGGACGAUACUUAUAGUUUACAACAUUCCUCACGGCAUCCAGGUAAGGGGCCCCAGCACAGGAGGAGCCUCCUCAGACCGUUCUGGACUCGGUCCCUCUCGCUCUGGGGCACACUUCUUCCUACCCUGCCCCUCUCCCUGUAGUCUGCCUUCCCCCCCCCCCGCCGGCCCCCCACCCCAGGCACUCAGGAUGCCCGGGCUUCCCAAGUUCAGGCUCCCAGGAACCGGGGGCACUGGUGUCUGGAGGUGGAACAAGCUCUUAGGGCUGUGGAAGCAAACAGAUGGCCUCCAGCCCUUUCCUGACGCAGGGAGGGCGUCCUGGAGGCGGAGACAUCCUGGCUGGACUUGUGCUGGGCGGGAGGCCAAGUGUAUAAGCAGGAAGAACACUUGUGUUGAAGGUCUGGAUAGUGGAAGAACCCAGAGGGCAGGGAGGUGCCAACACUGAGGACUGUCCUUGAGAGACCAGCUCGGUGGCCAGAUCCAGGCCUGUGGCAGGGCUGUGUCUGAUGUCAAGAGCAAGACAGGAGCCCGAGCAGAAGGUCGCAGUAGAGACCCAGACAGGAGCCCUGGACCCUUAGGCCUCCUGCUUGGGCCAGGACUGACCUCAGAGCUGGUGGCGGGUGGGGAAGAUACAGGGCUGUGGAGGCCAGGACCCAGGUGGCCUGUCUGUGACAGAUGGAGAGUCCCUCUUUCGUUUAACCAUAUGCUUUUCCCUGGUUUCCCUCCAUUUCUUCUCAGUGGGUUGUAGUGAAUUUUAAAAACAUUCCAGACAGCCCCAGAACCACAGAGCAGGAGGGGAGUGUGGAGUAUACGUGGCGUAGAUGUGGCGUGUCUCUGAGUGGCAGAGGGCACGGGCAAGGAUCCCCCACUGUUCCAGCCGCCCACCCUUCCGUCCAGUUUGCUGCCAUUGUCUCCGGCCCCGCCGUGGCACCAUCUCAAGCAAGGAGCGAGGGCGUCAGGAAGGGAGGCCUGGCCUUCUAGGCCAAAGAGCCCAGUGCCCAGCGGAAUGGGAGCCCCAGCCUUUGAUGAAUUCCAGUCUCAUCAGGACAUUUGCAGGAGUGUGUGAUGCCAAGCCGAAUGGCGUGGGGUUAGGGAAGGUGGUCGCCGGAGGCAGGCCACGUCAUGUUGGGUCUCUGAGGGGCAAGAUUUGAGACAGCGAUCUGUUUGGUCACUUGAGUGCAGACAAAGCUCCGGGUAGGGAGGUGAAGGGCGGGCCGGGCUGCGAGGGCCUCUGCAGCUGCUGGGCCCCUCUCAGGGUACCCCGCCUCCUUGUGUCUGUGUUCCUCCUGCAGGGCCCAGAGCACCCCAAUCCUGGGAAGCCAUUCACCGCCAGGGGCUUUCCCCGUCAGUGCUACCUUCCGGACAAUGCCCAGGGCCGCAAGGUAAGGCCCCACCACCCUGGGGGCACCCCCCGCCCUCUGCUGGCAGGCCGUGGCCUGGCUGCUCGUGGGCUGUUCGAGCAGGUGGGAUGGGAGGGCCCAGCUUGGUGGCCAUACCUGCUGUGCCCUGUUCACCUUCUUCUGGGGCUGGCUGGGGUGCUGGCCACUCCUUCCCGGGGCUGCCUGCUAUCCGUGAGGCAUCCUCGACCAGGAGAAACGACCAGCAGGGAGAGACGACCAGCAGGGAGGGGAGGCCACUUCUAGCAACCUCUCUGGCCGGGUCACCUGCUCUUGAGUCAGGCUAGUGUGACGCGUUGGGCAGAGUGGGGACAGGGGAACAGGACUGGGUGACCGUGAUGGCCUGCAAGCCACCUCUGCAU
RNAcentral lists this long non-coding RNA (18098 nucleotides) under Lynx pardinus (Iberian lynx). Lineage: Eukaryota; Metazoa; Chordata; Mammalia; Carnivora; Felidae. The record is from RNAcentral.